This 116-nucleotide ribosomal RNA is filed under the name uncultured bacterium. RNAcentral describes it as "partial 16S ribosomal RNA". It matches the Rfam family "Bacterial small subunit ribosomal RNA", at positions 1367 to 1482 of the family's 1533-position model. The record is from RNAcentral.
UACGUUCCCGGGCCUUGUACACACCGCCCGUCACACCACGAAAGCUGGAGGAACCAGAAGUCGUUGACCCAACCUUCGGGAGGGAGACGCCCAAGGUUUAUCCGGUGAUUGGGGUG